GGAGACACUGUGGCUCAAACACAGAGCAUCUGCUUUGCAUGCCAAAGGUCCUAGGUUCAAUCCCUGCCAUCUCCA
This 75-nucleotide transfer RNA is filed under the name Sphaerodactylus townsendi. RNAcentral describes it as "tRNA-Ala". Lineage: Eukaryota; Metazoa; Chordata; Lepidosauria; Squamata; Sphaerodactylidae. The record is from RNAcentral.